This 377-nucleotide ribosomal RNA is filed under the name uncultured bacterium. RNAcentral describes it as "bacterial SSU rRNA". It matches the Rfam family "Bacterial small subunit ribosomal RNA", at positions 29 to 394 of the family's 1533-position model. The record is from RNAcentral.
AACGAACGCUGGCGGCGCGCCUAAUACAUGCAAGUCGAGCGAGAAGACGUAGCAAUACGUUUGUAAAGCGGCGAACGGGUGAGGAAUACAUGGGUAACCUACCCUCGAGCGGGGAAUAACUAGCCGAAAGGUUAGCUAAUACCGCGUACGCUCCUUGGACUUCGGUUCAGGGAGGAAAGCGAUACCGUGGGGUAUCGCGCUCUUGGAUGGGCUCAUGUCCUAUCAGCUUGUUGGUGAGGUAACGGCUCACCAAGGCUUCGACGGGUAGCUGGUCUGAGAGGACAAUCAGCCACAACUGGCACUGCGACACGGGCCAGACUCCUACGGGAGGCAGCAGUAAGGAAUAUUGCGCAAUGGGCGAAAGCCUGACGCAGCGA